UACAGAGGGUGCGAGCGUUGUCCGGAAUCACUGGGCGUAAAGGGCGCGUAGGUGGCGACCCAAGUCGAUGGUGAAAGCUCGCCGCUCAACGGCGAGUCGGCCACCGAUACUGGGUUGCUGGAGCACUGUAGAGGGCAGAUGGGAAUUCCGGGAUGUAGCGGUGGAAUGCGUAGAGAUCCGGAAGAACACCGGUGGCGAAGGCGGUCUGCUGGG
Molecule: ribosomal RNA, 213 nt
Filed under: uncultured bacterium
Lineage: Bacteria
Description: partial 16S ribosomal RNA
Rfam family: Bacterial small subunit ribosomal RNA
Source: RNAcentral